Molecule: non-coding RNA, 72 nt
Organism: Ictidomys tridecemlineatus (thirteen-lined ground squirrel)
Lineage: Eukaryota; Metazoa; Chordata; Mammalia; Rodentia; Sciuridae
Source: Rfam
UGGGUUGUAGCUCAGUGGUAAAGCACUUGUCUCCCAUGUGUGAGGCACUGGGUUCAAUCCUCAGCACCACAU